This 21-nucleotide non-coding RNA is filed under the name Rattus norvegicus (Norway rat). The record is from RNAcentral. Lineage: Eukaryota; Metazoa; Chordata; Mammalia; Rodentia; Muridae.
UGAAAUGGAGAAGCCUAGAGG